GAUCAUGGCUCAGGAUGAACGCUGGCGGCGUGCUUAACACAUGCAAGUCGAACGGAGUUUUAAACGGAAGUCCUCGGAUGGAAGUUUAGAAACUUAGUGGCGGACGGGUGAGUAACGCGUGGGUAACCUGCCUCAUACAGGGGGAUAACAGUCGGAAACGAUUGCUAAAACCGCAUAACAUAGCGAAACCGCAUGAUUUUGCUAUCAAAUAUUUAUAGGUAUGAGAUGGGCCCGCGUCUGAUUAGCUAGUUGGUGGGGUAAUGGCCUACCAAGGCGACGAUCAGUAGCCGGCUUGAGAGAGUGACCGGCCACAUUGGGACUGAGACACGGCCCAAACUCCUACGGGAGGCAGCAGUGGGGAAUAUUGGACAAUGGGGGAAACCCUGAUCCAGCGACGCCCGCGUGAGUGAAGAAGUAUUUCGGUAUGUAAAGCUCUAUCAGCAGGGAAGAUAAUGACAGUACCUGACUAAGAAGCCCCGGCUAACUACGUGCCAGCAGCAGC
This 502-nucleotide ribosomal RNA is filed under the name uncultured bacterium. RNAcentral's name for it is "bacterial SSU rRNA". It matches the Rfam family "Bacterial small subunit ribosomal RNA", at positions 15 to 518 of the family's 1533-position model. The record is from RNAcentral.